Molecule: long non-coding RNA, 689 nt
Organism: Drosophila montana
Lineage: Eukaryota; Metazoa; Arthropoda; Insecta; Diptera; Drosophilidae
Exons: 3
Source: RefSeq, a predicted model, not a curated record
UGAUAUAUAUUUUAAAUGUGUGAAAGUUACCGAAUCAAAAUUUGAUGGGCAUUCGAAAGAAAACUCAUUACAGAAUUCAAAAUGAAUUAAUUAAGGAACGUUCGAAAACAGUCUCAAACUGAAAAUGCCGCUUACAUCUCUAGCAAACCACAAAACACUUGAAUUACAAUUUGCAAUUAUGACGUUAGCAAAUUCGGCUCGUAGACUGCUUUUAGUACUUUCUAGAGGGGCGGGUACGAGUGCGGGUGCGGGUUCGGGAACUGCUUUGGGGCAUUCUAACUCUUAUCAAGUGGAUGCUGGCUGCAGUAUCCAAGGCCAAAAUUGUGCAGCACUUCCGGCUCGUUAACUUUGAUGUAGGUGCAGGAGCAAAACGGAUGCGGAUGCGGGUCUAUGUAUUCGCACUUGGCCAAGUGGCAAGCAUUUGUGGCAGCCACUGACAAUGCUCCAUUAGCAUGCAACAUAUUUUAAUUAGCCAAAUAAAUUGUAAAUGUCCGUUGAGCGAAAUAAGCUGAGAGACUGGCCCUAUACGCGUGUGUGUGUGUGUGUUGAAAACUGGUGCCAGUGUUGCAAAAUGCUCCAGAGAAAACUCGAAUCUGAACGCUGUACUGCUGCUUUGAGCCUUGGGCCCGGCUAGUUAAAGUUUAAGUACCUUUUUGCUAGCCAAGAUUUAUUGUGAGCAGACCAAAAAA